CAUGCAAGUCGUGCGAGAAAGUAUCUUCGGAUAUGAGUAGAGCGGCGGACGGGUGAGUAACGCGUAGGAAUCUACCUAGUAGAAGGGGAUAGCCCGGGGAAACCCGGAUUAAUACCGUAUACCUCCUUCGGGAGAAAGAAGGCCUCUCUUUGAAGCUUUCGCUACUAGAUGAGCCUGCGUAAGAUUAGCUUGUUGGUGAGGUAAAGGCUCACCAAGGCUACGAUCUUUAGCUGGUCUGAGAGGACGAUCAGCCACAUUGGGACUGAGACACGGCCCAGACUCCUACGGGAGGCAGCAGUGGGGAACAUUGGACAAUGGGCGCAAGCCUGAUCCAGCCAUACCGCGUGUGUGAAGAAGGCCUUCGGGUUGUAAAGCACUUUAAGCAGGGAGAAAAAGUUAUAAGUUAAUACCUUAUAACCCUGAUGUUACCUGCAGAAUAAGCACCGGCUAAUUCCGUGCCAGCAGCCGCGGUAAUACGGAAGGUGCAAGCGUUAAUCGGAAUUACUGGGCGUAAAGCGCGCGUAGGUGGUUUGUUAAGUUGGAUGUGAAAGCCCUGGGCUCAACCUAGGAACUGCAUCCAAAACUAACUCACUAGAGUACGAUAGAGGGAGGUAGAAUUCAUAGUGUAGCGGUGGAAUGCGUAGAUAUUAUGAAGAAUACCAGUGGCGAAAGCGGCCUCCUGGAUCUGUACUGACACUGAGGUGCGAAAGCGUGGGUAGCGAACAGGAUUAGAUACCCUGGUAGUCCACGCCGUAAACGAUGACAACUAGCUGUUGGGAGACUAUGUCUUUCAGUGGCGCAGCUAACGCUUUAAGUUGUCCGCCUGGGGAGUACGGCCGCAAGGCUAAAACUCAAAUGAAUUGACGGGACCCGCACAAGCGGUGAGCAUGUGGUUUAAUUCGAUGCACGCGAAAACCUUACCUACU
Molecule: ribosomal RNA, 926 nt
Filed under: uncultured marine bacterium
Lineage: Bacteria
Description: bacterial SSU rRNA
Rfam family: Bacterial small subunit ribosomal RNA
Source: RNAcentral